RNAcentral lists this ribosomal RNA (446 nucleotides) under Mesorhizobium sp. UFLA01-768. RNAcentral's name for it is "bacterial SSU rRNA". It matches the Rfam family "Bacterial small subunit ribosomal RNA", at positions 137 to 610 of the family's 1533-position model. Lineage: Bacteria; Pseudomonadati; Pseudomonadota; Alphaproteobacteria; Hyphomicrobiales; Phyllobacteriaceae. The record is from RNAcentral.
UACGGAACAACUCCGGGAAACUGGAGCUAAUACCGUAUACGUCCUUCGGGAGAAAGAUUUAUCGGAGAUGGAUGAGCCCGCGUUGGAUUAGCUAGUUGGUGGGGUAAUGGCCUACCAAGGCGACGAUCCAUAGCUGGUCUGAGAGGAUGAUCAGCCACACUGGGACUGAGACACGGCCCAGACUCCUACGGGAGGCAGCAGUGGGGAAUAUUGGACAAUGGGCGAAAGCCUGAUCCAGCCAUGCCGCGUGAGUGAUGAAGGCCCCUAGGGGUUGUAAAGCCUCUUUCAACGGCGGAAGAUAAUUGACGGUAACCGGUAGAAGAAGCCCCGGGCUAACUUCGUGCCAGCAGCCGCGGUAAUACGAAGGGGGCUAGCGUUGUUCGGAAUUACUGGGCGUAAAGCGCACGUAGGCGGAUACUUAAGUCAGGGGUGAAAUCCCGGGGCUC